This 257-nucleotide ribosomal RNA is filed under the name uncultured bacterium. RNAcentral describes it as "partial 16S ribosomal RNA". It matches the Rfam family "Bacterial small subunit ribosomal RNA", at positions 524 to 776 of the family's 1533-position model. The record is from RNAcentral.
UACGAAGGGGGGCUAGCGUUGCUCGGAAUGACUGGGCGUAAAGGGCGCGUAGGCGGACGGCUUUGUCGGGCGUGAAAUUCCAGGGCUUAACCUUGGGGGCUGCGUUCGAGACGGGUUGUCUAGAGUUUGGAAGAGGGUCGUGGAAUUCCCAGUGUAGAGGUGAAAUUCGUAGAUAUUGGGGAAGAACACCGGUGGCGAAGGCGGCGACCUGGUCCUUGACUGACGCUGAGGCGCGAAAGCGUGGGGGAGCAAACAGG